AGAUGUGUUAUCUAAUCGUCACUUCUGUAAUUUCAGGUUCUUGCAGCUCAUCGUUCUGGCAUAAAAAGAGUAAUUUUACCAGAAAGAAACUUAAAGGACUUGGUUGAAGUACCAUCAGCUAUUCUUGCUGGAAUGGAGAUUUUGUUUGCGAAGCGGAUGGAAGAUGUAUUGGAGCAAGCAUUUGAAGGAGGAUGCCCAUUGAGACAGCACUCGAAAUUAUGACAAUUAAAACAUCCAAUUUCAAUGGGCUUCUUGAUCUUUGGAGAGCCUGUUUAUAUCACUAUCGACCCAGACUUUGAGCUUUGCAAGUGUAUAUUAUGCGCAAGAAGUAUUAUGCGCAAGAAGCAGAAGGCUCCCCUAUUCUAUCUCUACGAAAAUAAAAAAGGAUUAGCGUGUUCUGUAUAUAACGCAAGUGUAACUAAGUACUUGCUCUUUGACCGAUCGCCUCAUCUGUGAUUCUAAAUAAAAGAUAAACCAGGUACGUACAAUUGAAGCUGAGCUUGUACUAGAAAAGGUUGCUUAGGGUCAAAUGUUAUAUUGUGUAAAAUGUAUGUAAAAGCUCUCAUUUGUAAAAGUUGAAUGCAAUUAUUGUUAAUAAUUAUGAUUAUGAUGAUGGUGAAGAUGGUUAAUGUUAUUUAUGUUUUUUUUA
Molecule: long non-coding RNA, 649 nt
Organism: Asparagus officinalis (garden asparagus)
Lineage: Eukaryota; Viridiplantae; Streptophyta; Magnoliopsida; Asparagales; Asparagaceae
Exons: 2
Source: RefSeq, a predicted model, not a curated record